AUUGAACGCUGGCGGCAUGCCUAACACAUGCAAGUCGAACGGAGAUAGGGGCAACCUUAUUUCAGUGGCAGACGGGUGAGGAAUGCGUCGGAAUCUGCCUUAUGGUGGGGGAUAACACAGGGAAACUUGUGCUAAUACCGCAUAAUGUACGAGAGACCAAAGCAGGGGACCGCAAGGCCUUGCGCGAUAGGAUGAGCCGACGCCCGAUUAGCUUGUUGGUAGGGUAAUGGCCUACCAGGGCGACGAUCGGUAGCUGGUCUGAGAGGAUGAUCAGCCACACUGGGACUGAGACACGGCCCAGACUCCUACGGGAGGCAGCAGUGGGGAAUAUUGGACAAUGGGCGCAAGCCUGAUCCAGCAAUGCCGCGUGUGUGAAGAAGGCCUGCGGGUUGUAAAGCUACUUUUGUUCGGGAAGAAUCAUGUCGUUAAUACCCGAUGUGGAUGACGGUACCAAAGAUAAGCACCGG
Molecule: ribosomal RNA, 467 nt
Filed under: uncultured bacterium
Lineage: Bacteria
Description: bacterial SSU rRNA
Rfam family: Bacterial small subunit ribosomal RNA
Source: RNAcentral